This 114-nucleotide small RNA is filed under the name Arabidopsis thaliana (thale cress). RNAcentral describes it as "ATSL259010". The record is from RNAcentral. Lineage: Eukaryota; Viridiplantae; Streptophyta; Magnoliopsida; Brassicales; Brassicaceae.
UUUGUUAAUUUCUUGAGGUUCGAUUUCUAUCUACAUAUACAUUUUUGCAGCCACUUUAACAAAUAAAUCCCCUACUUGACACUUAUUUACAAUGGCAUGUCAUUAACAUUUAUU